AUUGAACGCUGGCGGCAUGCCUUACACAUGCAAGUCGAACGGCAGCAUGGGUGCUUGCACCUGAUGGCGAGUGGCGAACGGGUGAGUAAUGCAUCGGAACGUACCCGGAAGUGGGGGAUAACGUAGCGAAAGUUACGCUAAUACCGCAUAUUCUGUGAGCAGGAAAGCGGGGGAUCGCAAGACCUCGCGCUUCCGGAGCGGCCGAUGUCGGAUUAGCUAGUUGGCGGGGUAAAGGCCCACCAAGGCAACGAUCCGUAGCGGGUCUGAGAGGAUGAUCCGCCACACUGGGACUGAGACACGGCCCAGACUCCUACGGGAGGCAGCAGUGGGGAAUUUUGGACAAUGGGGGCAACCCUGAUCCAGCCAUGCCGCGUGAGUG
This 379-nucleotide ribosomal RNA is filed under the name uncultured bacterium. RNAcentral describes it as "bacterial SSU rRNA". It matches the Rfam family "Bacterial small subunit ribosomal RNA", at positions 29 to 407 of the family's 1533-position model. The record is from RNAcentral.